This 240-nucleotide unclassified non-coding RNA is filed under the name soil metagenome. RNAcentral's name for it is "partial contains 5.8S ribosomal RNA, internal transcribed spacer 2, and large subunit ribosomal RNA". The record is from RNAcentral.
AACACUGUUAACCUGCGGUACCUGCGGAAGGAUCAUUAAAAACUCUUUUUCCCGCGGACUUUUUUGUCCAAGGCGCAAAAAGACCCACACCUGUGUGCACUGUUAUCGUUUCUUUGGCAGGGGCUUGGGGUGGUUUUUUCCCUCCAACUUCUCCUUUGGCUCUAUCCUUCGGGACAGCUGGACAUGGGAAGCAGUUUACCCUGCCAAGUAAACCUCAAAACACGCCUUUAUUGUCUGAAA